Sphaerodactylus townsendi is the source of this 668-nucleotide long non-coding RNA. RefSeq lists it as uncharacterized. The record is from RefSeq and is a predicted model, not a curated record. Lineage: Eukaryota; Metazoa; Chordata; Lepidosauria; Squamata; Sphaerodactylidae. The transcript is spliced from 3 exons.
UGCUUUUGGAAACAAGGAAUAAAACCCUUCUGUUCUUUGAAGUGAACAACGCCUGGGUUCCUGUGUUUUCUUUUCCUCAACUGCUUCUGCUGUUACCACGACCGCUGCUGAGUGGCUCCUUCUCAUCCAGGUCCUGACAUCAUCCGGGGGAGGGUCCUGCUGCUAGCAGCUACGCUAAGAGGUCCAACUGGUGGGAUUCAUGGGAUAGCUUUCUCAUCUGCUACCCUCAUAUUGUCCAUUUGGCUUCCAGCAGAAAAUUCAAGAUGCAUCUGAAUGAACAUGGGCUACUUCAAUUCCAGGGGUCUGGGUGCCAUGAUGCCUGCCAACACCUUUCCUGUCACCCACCAAGUGAUCAUCGUUAAGCACCACCAGCUUCAUGUCUUUCACCAAGGUCAAGCGCGUAGUGUCAGACAAAGGUAUCAGCUGAUGACCACAUUACUGCCCAGCAAACUUCCUGAAUGAGCACUCCUCUCAUAAACUCUGCAGAAGAUUCCUGUGCCCUGGUUGAAUGGGCAUGAACCACUGAAGGACAUGAAACAUUCACUAUCUUGAAACACAGCUUUAUUGCUGACACAGCUCAAUGUGAAGAGGCACUCCUUCCCUUAGAAGGCUUUAAAUAUGAUACAAAUAAAGUUUUAUCUUUUCUAAAGUCCAUUGUUCCAUGUAAA